This is a long non-coding RNA of Macadamia integrifolia, 322 nucleotides long. RefSeq lists it as uncharacterized. NCBI's taxonomy places the organism in Eukaryota, Viridiplantae, Streptophyta, Magnoliopsida, Proteales, Proteaceae. The record is from RefSeq and is a predicted model, not a curated record. The transcript has 3 exons.
AUAGUUUCGAACUCGCACAGAGAGAGGAGAGAAGAAGGAGAAGAAGGAGCUCGCCCCCUUGUGGAAUCUCCUCAGCAGAGCAGGUAUUGGGACAAAUUUUAGGGUUUUUCUAGACCCCCUAUACAGAGAGCUAUUAUGUCUGGAAGUAGUAUCCCUGCCGUUAAGUGGUCAGAAUUUGAGACCACUGUGUUCAUUGAAUCAAUGAAAGAAGCUGUAAAAAAUGGUCACAAAUCCGGUAAUUCAUUUAACAAAACUGGAUGGGAGAUCAUUACAAAGCAAUUUCAACAGGCUUUAAAUCGUCCAGUUGGGAGAGAACAGUUAC